GUGGGGAAUAUUGCACAAUGGGCGCAAGCCUGAUGCAGCCAUGCCGCGUGUAUGAAGAAGGCCUUCGGGUUGUAAAGUACUUUCAGCGAGGAGGAAGGCAUUAAGGUUAAUAACCUUGGUGAUUGACGUUACUCGCAGAAGAAGCACCGGCUAACUCCGUGCCAGCAGCCGCGGUAAUACGGAGGGUGCAAGCGUUAAUCGGAAUUACUGGGCGUAAAGCGCACGCAGGCGGUUUGUUAAGUCGGAUGUGAAAUCCCCGGGCUCAACCUGGGAACUGCAUUCGAAACUGGCAAGCUUGAGUCUUGUAGAGGGGGGUAGAAUUCCAGGUGUAGCGGUGAAAUGCGUAGAGAUCUGGAGGAAUACCGGUGGCGAAGGCGGCCCCCUGGACAAAGACUGACGCUCAGGUGCGAAAGCGUGGGGAGCAA
This 425-nucleotide ribosomal RNA is filed under the name uncultured Cedecea sp. Its description in RNAcentral is "bacterial SSU rRNA". It matches the Rfam family "Bacterial small subunit ribosomal RNA", at positions 354 to 771 of the family's 1533-position model. Lineage: Bacteria; Pseudomonadati; Pseudomonadota; Gammaproteobacteria; Enterobacterales; Enterobacteriaceae. The record is from RNAcentral.